GAGGGUAUAGUUCAGUGGUAGAGUGUGUGCUUAGCAUGCACAAGGUCCUGGGUUCAAUCGCCAGUACCUCCA
Molecule: transfer RNA, 72 nt
Filed under: Camelus bactrianus (Bactrian camel)
Lineage: Eukaryota; Metazoa; Chordata; Mammalia; Artiodactyla; Camelidae
Also listed under: 2 other names
Rfam family: tRNA
About the family: Transfer RNA (tRNA) molecules are approximately 80 nucleotides in length.
Source: Rfam by way of RNAcentral